This 477-nucleotide ribosomal RNA is filed under the name uncultured bacterium. RNAcentral's name for it is "bacterial SSU rRNA". It matches the Rfam family "Bacterial small subunit ribosomal RNA", at positions 29 to 524 of the family's 1533-position model. The record is from RNAcentral.
AACGAACGCUGGCGGCAUGCCUAACACAUGCAAGUCGAACGAGACCUUCGGGUCUAGUGGCGCGCGGGUGCGUAACGCGUGGGAACCUGCCUUUAGGUUCGGAAUAACUCAGAGAAAUUUGAGCUAAUACCGGAUAAUGUCUUCGGACCAAAGAUUUAUCGCCUUUAGAUGGGCCCGCGUAAGAUUAGCUAGUUGGAGGGUAAAGGCCUACCAAGGCGACGAUCUUUAGCUGGUCUGAGAGGAUGAUCAGCCACACUGGGACUGAGACACGGCCCAGACUCCUACGGGAGGCAGCAGUGGGGAAUUGUUCGCAAUGGGCGCAAGCCUGACGACGCAACGCCGCGUGGAGGAUGAAGAUCUUCGGGUUGUAAACUCCUUUCGAUCGAGACGAAUGGCCCUUGGGCUAACAUCCUGAGGGAGUGACGGUACCGAGAGAAGAAGCCCCCGGCUAAACUCCGUGCCAGCAGCCGCGGUAAU